UACGGAGGGUCCAAGCGUUAUCCGGAUUUAUUGGGUUUAAAGGGUCCGUAGGCGGGUCGAUAAGUCAGUGGUGAAAGUCUGCAGCUCAACUGUAGAACUGCCAUUGAAACUGUUGUCCUUGAGUCAUUAUGAAGUGGUUAGAAUAUGUAGUGUAGCGGUGAAAUGCAUAGAUAUUACAUAGAAUACCGAUUGCGAAGGCAGAUCACUAAUAAUUCACUGACGCUGAGGGACGAAAGCGUAGGUAGCGAACAGG
Molecule: unclassified non-coding RNA, 253 nt
Filed under: uncultured Flavobacteriaceae bacterium
Lineage: Bacteria; Pseudomonadati; Bacteroidota; Flavobacteriia; Flavobacteriales; Flavobacteriaceae
Description: contains 16S-23S intergenic spacer region
Rfam family: Bacterial small subunit ribosomal RNA
Source: RNAcentral